RNAcentral lists this non-coding RNA (30 nucleotides) under Mus musculus (house mouse). The record is from RNAcentral. Lineage: Eukaryota; Metazoa; Chordata; Mammalia; Rodentia; Muridae.
GCGGGAUGCCUGGGUGACGCGAUCUGCCCG